GAUGAACGCUGGCGGCGUGCUUAACACAUGCAAGUCGAACGGAGGGGUGAUUUCGGUUGCUCUUCAGUGGCGCACGGGUGAGUAACACGUAGCUGACCUGCCCUCAAGAGUGGGAUAACGGGUCGAAAGACCUGCUAAUGCCGCAUAAGCUCACGCGCAUUAGAGGCGCGCGAGAAAGGGCGCAAGCCGUUUGAGGAGGGGGCGUGCGGACCAUCAGCAGUUGGUGGGGUAACGGCCUACCAAGGCGACGACGGGUAGGGGGCCGUGAGAGGGUGGUCCCCGACACUGGGACUGAGACACGGCCCACGACUCCUACGGGAGGGCGAGCAGUGAGGAAUAUUGCGCAAUGGCGAAAGCCUGACGCAGCGACGCCGCGUGGGUGAGGAAGGCC
Molecule: ribosomal RNA, 391 nt
Filed under: uncultured bacterium
Lineage: Bacteria
Description: bacterial SSU rRNA
Rfam family: Bacterial small subunit ribosomal RNA
Source: RNAcentral